ACUUUCAGCCCAGGCAAGGGGAGGAGAGCAAACCCGAAGAUGGUAACCUGCUCCCCUGGGCCAGAGGAAGCAGAGACCUUCUCAUGAGGACCAGCUACAGCCUUGACUUGGUUCUCGAGCUCCAGAUUUGGCAAACUCACCUAUCUCCACAGAGAAGUCUCACGGCCUUCCAAGCUGAAUAAAAUAAAACGCCACUCUUUGCUCACAACGAGCCAGAUUCAUCUUCCAAAGCACCGCUGUCCUCUCCAAGCUGCAGUCUCUCGCUCUCUUGCCCUUAGAAUUUGGUGUCAGAAGUGAGAAUACAGAGUAAAACUUCAGCAACCCCCAGGAACACCAGGGAACCAGACCAGAUACCUGCAACGCCAGCUGUGCCCAUUGAUCUCUUGUUUGUAACUGGAGGUCGUGGCUGAAUUUUCUCUCAGAUUCCAAGAUCCAAGAAUUUGUGUUCUCAGCUCUCCAAGUUUGUUUGAGCAAUCUCUGGACUGGGCUGGGUUUGGGAUUGGAUUGGAUUCGAUAAUCAACCGGAUUAGAUUCGGUUAGAGGCUGAAGG
Molecule: long non-coding RNA, 550 nt
Organism: Symphalangus syndactylus (siamang)
Lineage: Eukaryota; Metazoa; Chordata; Mammalia; Primates; Hylobatidae
Source: RefSeq, a predicted model, not a curated record